GACGAACGCUGGCGGCGUGCCUAAUACAUGCAAGUUGAGCGCUGAAGGUUGGUACUUGUACCGACUGGCUGAGCAGCGAACGGGUGAGUAACGCGUGGGGAAUCUGCCUUUGAGCGGGGGACAACAUUUGGAAACGAAUGCUAAUACCGCAUAAAAACUUUAAACACAAGUUUUAAGUUUGAAAGAUGCAAUUGCAUCACUCAAAGAUGAUCCCGCGUUGUAUUAGCUAGUUGGUGAGGUAAAGGCUCACCAAGGCGAUGAUACAUAGCCGACCUGAGAGGGUGAUCGGCCACAUUGGGACUGGGACACGGCCCAAAAUCCUACGGGAGGCAGCAGGAGGGAAUCUUCGGCAAUGGACGAAAGUCUGAACGAGGAACGCCGCGUGAGGGAAGAAGGUUUUCGGAUCGUAAAACUCUGUUGGUAGAGAAGAACGUUGGUGAGAGUGGAAAGCUCAUCAAGUGACGGUAACUACCCAGAAAGGGACGGCUAACUACGUG
This 497-nucleotide ribosomal RNA is filed under the name uncultured bacterium. Its description in RNAcentral is "partial 16S ribosomal RNA". It matches the Rfam family "Bacterial small subunit ribosomal RNA", at positions 28 to 507 of the family's 1533-position model. The record is from RNAcentral.